AACGAACGCUGGCGGCGUGGCUAAGGCAUGCAAGUCGAACGGACCCUUCGGGGUUAGUGGCGAACGGGUGAGGAAUACAUGGAUAACGUACCCUGAACUCAAGAAUAGCGAAGCGAAAGUUUCGGUAAUACUUGAUAACCCCACAGUAUCGCAUGGAACAGUGGGCAAAGUUACGGCGGUUCAGGAGCGGUUCAUGUCCUAUCAGCUUGUUGGUGGGGUAAUGGCCUACCAAGGCAACGACGGGUACCGGGCGUGAGAGCGUGACCCGGCACAUCGGCACUGAGACACUGGCCGGACACCUACGGGUGGCUGCAGCAACGAAUAUUCCGCAAUGGACGAAAGUCUGACGGAGCGACGCCGCGUGCAGGAAGAAUUCCCUCGGGAUGUAAACUGCUGUCAGGGGAUAGAAAGAUCUGAUCAACCCCAAAGGAAGCACCGGCUAACUCCGUGCCAGCAGCCGCGGUAAUACGGAGGGUGCAAGCGUUGUUCGGAAUCACUGGGCUUAAAGCGCGUGUAGGCGGAAUAUCAGGUGUCUUGUGAAAUCCCCAGGCUCAACCUGGGAAUUGCUUGGCAAACCGAUAUCU
RNAcentral lists this ribosomal RNA (584 nucleotides) under uncultured bacterium. Its description in RNAcentral is "bacterial SSU rRNA". It matches the Rfam family "Bacterial small subunit ribosomal RNA", at positions 28 to 642 of the family's 1533-position model. The record is from RNAcentral.